This 67-nucleotide transfer RNA is filed under the name Trinomys setosus. Its description in RNAcentral is "tRNA-Phe". It matches the Rfam family "tRNA". From Rfam's summary of the family: Transfer RNA (tRNA) molecules are approximately 80 nucleotides in length. Their secondary structure includes four short double-helical elements and three loops (D, anti-codon, and T loops). The record is from RNAcentral. Lineage: Eukaryota; Metazoa; Chordata; Mammalia; Rodentia; Echimyidae.
GUUAAUGUAGCUUAUCACAAAGCAAAGCACUGAAAAUGCUUAGAUGAGUAUUUAUACUCCAUAAACA